Molecule: ribosomal RNA, 301 nt
Filed under: uncultured bacterium
Lineage: Bacteria
Description: partial 16S ribosomal RNA
Rfam family: Bacterial small subunit ribosomal RNA
Source: RNAcentral
CAGUAGCCGCGGUAAUACGGAGGAUGCGAGCGUUAUCCGGAUUUAUUGGGUUUAAAGGGUGCGUAGGCGGCCUGUUAAGUCAGCGGUGAAAUCUAGGAGCUUAACUCCUAAAUUGCCAUUGAUACUGGCGGGCUUGAGUGUAGAUGAGGUAGGCGGAAUGCGUGGUGUAGCGGUGGAAUGCAUAGAUAUCACGCAGAACUCCGAUUGCGAAGGCAGCUUACUAAGGUACAACUGACGCUGAAGCACGAAGGCGUGGGGAUCAAGCAGGAUUAGAGACCCCUGUAGUCCCUGUCUCUUAUAC